Molecule: long non-coding RNA, 1089 nt
Organism: Lolium rigidum
Lineage: Eukaryota; Viridiplantae; Streptophyta; Magnoliopsida; Poales; Poaceae
Exons: 4
Source: RefSeq, a predicted model, not a curated record
GAAAUCCACCGCUCAAAGACUUGGAAAAGAUCCUCAACAAACAAUUAGAAAAUUCCAUCCAGCUAGUACUCCUCGGGCGUUAUCCACAGUGAGUCGUGGAAACCUAGCGCCGCCGCCACUUCGCUCCUUGGCGGCGCCUCUCCGGUGGAUCCAGCCACUUACCUGGUCCUUUCCUUGGCGGUGAUCUGGCGGACGAAUCUGAGAUCCCAUCUGGCCAGUCUAGGUGCCCUUUCCGGUCCAUGCCUUGCUCCUCUUUCCCUGCCCUCUUACACCGAGCAGUACCGGCCCAUGGUGGUUCGAAUCCAGACAAAUCCUCCUCCAUUGCUGAUGCGUCUGCCAUUAGUGGGAUUUGGCAAUCCGGGACAUCAAUCUGGAGACUAUGGUCGCCCCUUGUGUGCCCUUCAAAACCUUGAAAAUCCGUGAGUUUGAGACAAUCUAUGUUCUGGUAAUUGAUUGAUAUUAUCUCGUAGCAGGUAUAAAAUUAUGAAUCCACGGUCACUGUUGUAAUCAAUAUCUUUGAUUUUUGUAGAAAAAAAUUGCAAUGAUAUAACACAUAUAUGUUAUGAUUAUGAUGUAUACAGUCUGGAUGGGGCAUGAACACAGCGAAAGAAGAGUACCCGACCGAGGUCUACGAUCUCACUAUUUUUCUGACCAUUCAUUCUUUACUUUCCAUUCAGGUCGAAUCCCAUUCUUUUUUCAUGCUUGUGCCAGGAAAGAUAUGUUAUCAGUGCUUUUUUUUUGGUUGCAGGUGGUUUGCACUUUUGUAGCUAUAAGCAAGUUUCUUAUGUCUAAUUGCCUUAUGAUAUCCAAGUUAUAUAUGGAUGUCCUUAUGUCCGAUGAAUUAGAAAAGGCUUGAUUCCGUACUUGUCACAACCGAUUUGACGAAGUUCUGAGGAAGCUGCACUAUACAUCACGCAGCACAACAGAAGACUACAACGAAGAUCAGAAGUUAGGAGCUAGAGCUGAUGCAUAUUCGGAGAAGUCACAGAUAGAAUGAAGUUCUUUGGAGAAAUAUAUGGAACUUUCUAGGAUCUUUGUUAGAGAAAUUUGAAAUUAGUUUAUGUGGGUGUACAAUUCAGUUGUAAAGUA